AAAGUACUCCCUUCGUCCCAAAAUUCUUGCCACAAAUUUGUCUAGAUACGGAUGUAUCAAUACAUCCAUAUCUAGACAAAUCUAAGACAAGAAAUUUGGGACAGAGGGAGUAGUUG
This is a non-coding RNA of Triticum aestivum (bread wheat), 116 nucleotides long. Lineage: Eukaryota; Viridiplantae; Streptophyta; Magnoliopsida; Poales; Poaceae. The record is from Rfam.